RNAcentral lists this small RNA (540 nucleotides) under Knufia tsunedae. Its description in RNAcentral is "eukaryotic LSU rRNA". It matches the Rfam family "Eukaryotic large subunit ribosomal RNA", at positions 58 to 607 of the family's 3401-position model. Lineage: Eukaryota; Fungi; Ascomycota; Eurotiomycetes; Chaetothyriales; Trichomeriaceae. The record is from RNAcentral.
AAAGAAACCAACAGGGAUUGCCUCAGUAACGGCGAGUGAAGCGGCAACAGCUCAAAUUUGAAAUCUGGCCUCACGGUCCGAGUUGUAAUUUGUAGAGGAUGUUUUGGGUACCGCCGUGGUUUAAAUUUCUUGGAACAGAAUGUCAAAGAGGGUGAGAGUCCCGUCUUGGACCGCGGUAGGGCCUGUGUAAAACUCCUUCGACGAGUCGACUUGUUUGGGAAUGCAGGUCAAAAUGGGUGGUAAAUUUCAUCUAAAGCUAAAUAUUGGCCAGAGACCGAUAGCGCACAAGUAGAGUGAUCGAAAGAUGAAAAGCACUUUGAAAAGAGAGUUAAACAGUAUGUGAAAUUGUUGAAAGGGAAGCGCUGGCAACCAGACUCGUGCGCGGGGUUCCCCCUUGCUUCUGCUUGGGUUACUUCCCCGUGUCCGGGCCAUCAUCAGUUUUAGGGGCCGGUUAAAGGCUCUGGGAAUGUACCUACUCCUUCGGGGGUAGACUUAUAGCCCAGGGUGUCAUGCGGCCACCCGGGACUGAGGAACGCGCUU